GAUGAUCCUCUUUCUCAUCUUCUUUACUUCAUGCUUGAUGAUCCUGUUCCUCAUUUUCUUUGCCUUCAUGACCUUGUAGUGAUCAAAGUCUGUCAUCUUGGCUUUCUUUUCUCUGGCUUCAAUCUUCUUUGCCCACCUUGUACCUGUCCAUUUUUCAUUAAUAUUUUUUUUCUCCCAGGCAUCUCGCACAUGCUUCUGACGAACACUGUGUGGGAAUUUGAGUACAAAAUCGGUUAGCUGCCUGCACUUGAAGGGCAUAGCCUACCUUCUGUCACCACUGCAGGGGCCAUCAACUAGCACCCUGUUCUGGGGCUUAAGAGAACUAUAGUCAGAUCAAGAGAUCAAGAGCUGCCCCAUGAUAUUUGAAAUUAUACAAGACAGAUAGAAAGAUUCUUUUUUAUGAGAGCAUUUGAUGCCAAAAUAAUAUGAAAACGUUUCUUUAUUCAGUUCUCUGUAUGGCAGUGAAACACAUUUUAGUAGAGAAAAGCCUAUCUUUCUGUUAAAUUUUUUUUUAAAUGGACUGUUAAAUACAAUGAUGUGAUGAAUCAGAUACUGUACACUGGCACCAGAAGUAACUGGAAACCUCACUGUGAACAUCACAAAGUGUUCAAGGUUAUGUUUCACUCGGUUGCAGCCAGAAUCAAUAAAUCUAUCCUAGUUACUUUACUGUACGUGUUGUACUGCUUACUCACAUAAAUAGCAUGACACACUAGUCUUAAAGAAAGUUGUCUUCCAAGAACCAAUUUUUAACCACUAUACUGUUGAAAUUUGAAAAGCAAAAGAAACCUGCUUAUGUCCUAAAGUAGGAUACAGACUCAGAUACAUACAUAAUUUUUCUGACCGUUUCCCAGAAAACAAUCAUGCCAACUGAAAAUUUACCUCAUGGGCUGCA
Chelonia mydas (Green sea turtle) is the source of this 892-nucleotide long non-coding RNA. RefSeq lists it as uncharacterized. The transcript has 3 exons. The record is from RefSeq and is a predicted model, not a curated record. Lineage: Eukaryota; Metazoa; Chordata; Testudines; Cheloniidae.